Molecule: ribosomal RNA, 424 nt
Filed under: Fusobacteriota bacterium
Lineage: Bacteria; Fusobacteriati; Fusobacteriota
Description: Fusobacteria bacterium partial 16S ribosomal RNA
Rfam family: Bacterial small subunit ribosomal RNA
Source: RNAcentral
UGAGGAAUAUUGGUCAAUGGGCGAGAGCCUGAACCAGCCAAGUAGCGUGCAGGAUGACGGCCCUAUGGGUUGUAAACUGCUUUUAUGUGGGGAUAAAGUGCGUGACGUGUCAUGCAUUGCAGGUACCACAUGAAUAAGGACCGGCUAAUUCCGUGCCAGCAGCCGCGGUAAUACGGAAGGUCCGGGCGUUAUCCGGAUUUAUUGGGUUUAAAGGGAGCGUAGGCUGUCUAUUAAGCGUGUUGUGAAAUUUACCGGCUCAACCGGUGGCUUGCAGCGCGAACUGGUCGACUUGAGUAUGCAGGAAGUAGGCGGAAUUCAUGGUGUAGCGGUGAAAUGCUUAGAUAUCAUGACGAACUCUGAUUGCGCAGGCAGCUUACUGUAGCAUAACUGACGCUGAUGCUCGAAAGUGCGGGUAUCAAACAGG